Molecule: ribosomal RNA, 780 nt
Filed under: uncultured bacterium
Lineage: Bacteria
Description: bacterial SSU rRNA
Rfam family: Bacterial small subunit ribosomal RNA
Source: RNAcentral
CACCAAUGGCGAAGGCAGCCCCCUGGGAUAACACUGACGCUCAUGCACGAAAGCGUGGGGAGCAAACAGGAUUAGAUACCCUGGUAGUCCAUGCCGUAAACGAUGAUUACUGGCUGUUGGGUUUUCGGAUUCAGUGGCUAAGCGAAAGCGGUAAGUAAUCCACCUGGGGAGUACGCCGGCAACGGUGAAACUCAAAGGAAUUGACGGGGGCCCGCACAAGCGGUGGAUUAUGUGGUUUAAUUCGAUGAUACGCGAGGAACCUUACCAAGGCUUAAAUGGGAAUUGACAGGCUCAGAAAUGGGUUUUUCUUCGGACAAUUUUCAAGGUGCUGCAUGGUUGUCGUCAGCUCGUGCCGUGAGGUGUUAGGUUAAGUCCUGCAACGAGCGCAACCCCUGUCACUAGUUGCCAUCAUUUAGUUGGGGACUCUAGUGAGACUGCCUACGCAAGUAGAGAGGAAGGUGGGGAUGACGUCAAAUCAUCACGGCCCUUACGCCUUGGGCCACACACGUAAUACAAUGGCCGGUACAGAGGGCAGCUACACAGCGAUGUGAUGCAAAUCUCGAAAGCCGGUCUCAGUUCGGAUUGGAGUCUGCAACUCGACUCUAUGAAGCUGGAAUCGCUAGUAAUCGCGCAUCAGCCAUGGCGCGGUGAAUACGUUCCCGGGCCUUGUACACACCGCCCGUCAAGCCAUGGAAGUCUGGGGUACCUGAAGUCGGUGACCGUAACAGGAGCUGCCUAGGGUAAAACAGGUAACUAGGGCUAAGUCGUAACAAGGUAACC